CUACGGGAGGCAGCAGUGGGGAAUCUUGGGCAAUGGGCGCAAGCCUGACCCAGCCAUGCCGCGUGUGCGAAGAAGGCCUUCGGGUUGUAAAGCACUUUCAGUGGUGAAGAAAAGCCAGGGGCUAAUACCUCCAGGUCUUGACGUUAGCCACAGAAGAAGCACCGGCUAACUCCGUGCCAGCAGCCGCGGUAAUACGGAGGGUGCGAACGUUAAUCGGAAUUACUGGGCGUAAAGCGCGCGUAGGCGGUUCGGUAAGUGGGAUGUGAAAGCCCCGGGCUUAACCUGGGAACUGCAUUCCAAACUGCCGAGCUAGAGUAUGGUAGAGGGAGGUAGAAUUUCCUGUGUAGCGGUGAAAUGCGUAGAUAUAGGAAGGAAUACCAGUGGCGAAGGCGGCCUCCUGGAUCAAUACUGACGCUGAGGUGCGAAAGCGUGGGGAGCAAACAGGAUUAGAUACCCCGGU
RNAcentral lists this ribosomal RNA (460 nucleotides) under uncultured bacterium. RNAcentral describes it as "bacterial SSU rRNA". It matches the Rfam family "Bacterial small subunit ribosomal RNA", at positions 339 to 791 of the family's 1533-position model. The record is from RNAcentral.